GGCUAUGCCAACAAAUAAAUAUAGCUUGUAAACACACAAGCCCUUUCUUGCAGCAGAGCUGAGACAUCCUUUGACAAGGUGUUAAACAAGACUACCUUGUUGGCAACAGGCUGAGCAAAGCUGACGUUCACCUGGUUGAAAUGAUCUACAACAUGGGAGAGCUGGACUCCAACGUUUUGGCCAACUUCCCUCUGCUGCAGGACUGCAUGCUGCAUGGCUUCUUCCAGCUUUCUGUCAGCUGGUCUACAUGGAGGAGGUUU
Molecule: long non-coding RNA, 260 nt
Organism: Jaculus jaculus (lesser Egyptian jerboa)
Lineage: Eukaryota; Metazoa; Chordata; Mammalia; Rodentia; Dipodidae
Exons: 3
Source: RefSeq, a predicted model, not a curated record